This 465-nucleotide ribosomal RNA is filed under the name uncultured bacterium. RNAcentral's name for it is "partial 16S ribosomal RNA". It matches the Rfam family "Bacterial small subunit ribosomal RNA", at positions 28 to 507 of the family's 1533-position model. The record is from RNAcentral.
GAUGAACGCUGGCGGCGUGCUUAACACAUGCAAGUCGAACGGAAAGGCUCCUGCUUGCAGGGGUACUCGAGUGGCGAACGGGUGAGUAACACGUGGGUGAUCUGCCCUGCACUUCGGGAUAAGCCUGGGAAACUGGGUCUAAUACCGGAUAGGACGAUGGUUUGGAUGCCAUUGUGGAAAGUUUUUCGGUGUGGGAUGAGCUCGCGGCCUAUCAGCUUGUUGGUGGGGUAAUGGCCUACCAAGGCGUCGACGGGUAGCCGGCCUGAGAGGGUGUACGGCCACAUUGGGACUGAGAUACGGCCCAGACUCCUACGGGAGGCAGCAGUGGGGAAUAUUGCACAAUGGGCGCAAGCCUGAUGCAGCGACGCCGGGUGGGGGAUGACGGCCUUCGGGUUGUAAACUCCUUUCGCUAGGGACGAAGCGCAAGUGACGGUACCUGGAGAAGAAGCACCGGCUAACUACGUG